Molecule: long non-coding RNA, 490 nt
Organism: Galeopterus variegatus (Sunda flying lemur)
Lineage: Eukaryota; Metazoa; Chordata; Mammalia; Dermoptera; Cynocephalidae
Exons: 5
Source: RefSeq, a predicted model, not a curated record
CCUCUGGCUCGGUGUUGACCAAACCUGGUGGUUGCCGUUAGGGACGCCGGAGGCCGGCGUAGUCCACCGCCAGGGUCAUUCCAACCUUCUCGGUUUGCCGGGACCAUCAGUCCUCCAGCCGCCUUCUCCUUCCACCAGGUUUUUAGCCACUGAUGUUACUAAUAAUAAAAUAUUGGAGCAUAGAGUUGAGGAAAAGACUUAAACCAGAUUUUUCUUAAAUUAGUUAAAAAUAUGGAUUCCGAAACAGGAGGAGCACAGAUUGUCAAAGUGACACCUGUUCAGCAAAUGCUUGCCUCUUGUACUGGAGCUAUACUGACAUCACUAAUAGUGACACCCCUGGAUGUUGUUAAAAUUCGACUCCAAGCCCAAAGCAACUCAUUUCCUAAAGGAAAAUGUUUUGUGUAUAGUAAUGGAUUAAUGGAUCAUCUAUGUGUUUGUGAAGAGGGAGGCAACAAAGCAUGGUAUAAGAAGCCAGGAAAUUUCCAGGGAA